CUUAUGAGGAAAUUACUUUUUAGCAAAGCUAAGCAUUUUGUUGAGUCAUGCAAUCUGAAAGAUCAGGGUCAAGUACUUUUUCACCAUGAAACAAAUAAUAACAUUUUGAAAAGAAAGCUUAGUUACCGUUGGUAAUUCUGAGCUUAUUAGUAUUAGCAGAAAUGCAGCUCAAAAUAGAAAAAAAGUGUAUCCAUACCAAACCUGAAAGUUUCCUUUCUCUAAUCUCCCUGCAGCACUGGAAGCCUAACCAGCCCUGCUAACUCAAGAUGAUUAUUACAGUAAUGUACUGCAGAGCAUAACAAACUUUGAAAUGUACUGACUGACCCAAAAACCAUAUCACACUUCUCAGCAUGUUACUGAAAACCUACCAAAGGAUGUUAACGCAUAAAGAGGCCAUUUGAUUCGCAAGAUGGUAUACUGUGUUUAAUAUAAGUCUGGAGCUAUCUGAAGGACUAUUUUAAACCAUAUGAAAGGUAUAAUACUAUGUUUCUAUAGAAUGCUGGAAUUCUAAAACAGGAUAGUGUGGCCACGUGAAGUGCCAUGGUCCCUACACCACUAGAUUUGAAUGUCAAUUAUGUUUUUGUGUACCUCACAUGGGAAAUCUCUUCAGGUUAGCAGCGUGGAGCGGACCUUUUCCAAAUACCUGACCCUUUUCAGCUGAUCAGAGAAAGGGGGCUGGAUGUCUUGAGGCAACCCAUGUCCCAGAGAGACUUUCUGCAGUAGGCCUGAUUCCUGACUGCACAAAACACAAAAAUAUCUACCCACGAAGAAGGAAGUAAAGACCAGGGUAGCUUGGUCUUUUUGAAUUUAGUUGCCAUGCCAUACUCCAUGAAGAUGAGCAGGAGUACCAGGCACUGAGUUCAUAUAUAUUUUGGCCAGCCUGAUUCUGCUUGACAGCUCUAAUUAUUCUGGGGCUGAACUAAGCAUCUCUUUGUGGUCAUGGUUUCAGUUUCUCCUCUGCAGCAGGAAUGUCUGGAGUUGCUUGCCUACAAGGCAGGUCAGUAUCAUUAACCUCACCUUAGAGGCACAAAAAAGUGAAGUGUCGUCAGAGGUCACCCAGCAGCGUCAGCACCAGGAAUAGAACCCAUGGCUCCGGUAUCCCAGGCUAACUCAUGACUCACAUUGACCCCCUUGCCUGCAGCUCUGAAGGCAGAAGGAGAACUGUCUGGGGUCUCCAGAGGCUGGGCCAUACAACACUUCCUGCCAGUGAAUGGCAGAUCUUGUUCCACCCUCCAAUGCUACAAGUAGGAUGAAGACUCACUGGAACAGAACUGUGGGCCUCAGUAUGGGAGAGAAAGUGACUUUAUGACACAAAGCAUGGGAGCUCGAUAUUUGAGACUAACUACUAUAAAUCUUUGUGAAAGAAAAAUGUGGCACUGGGGGGGGUACAGCGUAAAGUUACAAGAGACCGAGUACUCAAGCUUGCUGCAAGGUGAUGGGAAUCAAUGAGAAGUGUUGAAGGCAACACUCAAUAUGGAAAACUGCAAGAAAUCUCCCAAUAGCAGAAGAAGGGAGCAGAAGUGCAACAAACAUCUCCCAAUAGCAGAAGGCAGGGAGGUGUAACAAAUUAAAGAGGAUCUGAACUGAAGAUUCAUCACAACAGCAUGAGAGAUAAUGACAUCAACAUCUCAAGUGGAAGCAGGGAGGUGUCCUUCCUUGCCUUGUCAAACUCUUGCAGGAUGAACAAGAACCCUGACCUCAGGUCCUAGAGUAGACAAGUAAAAACUAAAUUUUCAAA
This is a long non-coding RNA of Chelonia mydas (Green sea turtle), 1738 nucleotides long. RefSeq lists it as uncharacterized. The transcript is spliced from 5 exons. Lineage: Eukaryota; Metazoa; Chordata; Testudines; Cheloniidae. The record is from RefSeq and is a predicted model, not a curated record.